This is a long non-coding RNA of Phyllostomus discolor (pale spear-nosed bat), 141 nucleotides long. RefSeq lists it as uncharacterized. The record is from RefSeq and is a predicted model, not a curated record. NCBI's taxonomy places the organism in Eukaryota, Metazoa, Chordata, Mammalia, Chiroptera, Phyllostomidae. The transcript is spliced from 3 exons.
AACCCACACCUGUGCAGGGGAGGGUGAGGUCAUCCUAAUAUUUCCUGGACACCUAGAGUUCUGGACGCAUUCCAAAUCCUUUUUUGGAGCCCCCCUCUUGGCUGCACCCUGUAACAUUACCACAAAAUUUUUCACAGAGAG